Molecule: ribosomal RNA, 283 nt
Filed under: uncultured bacterium
Lineage: Bacteria
Description: partial 16S ribosomal RNA
Rfam family: Bacterial small subunit ribosomal RNA
Source: RNAcentral
UGCUUCCUACGCGACGCCGCGUGAGUGAGGAAGUAUUUCGGUAUGUAAAGCUCUAUCAGCAGGGAAGAAAAUGACGGUACCUGACUAAGAAGCCCCGGCUAACUACGUGCCAGCAGCCGCGGUAAUACGUAGGGGGCAAGCGUUAUCCGGAUUUACUGGGUGUAAAGGGGGCGCAGACGGCAGCGCAAGCCAGGAGUGAAAGCCCGGGGUCCAACCCCGGGACUGCUCUUGGAACUGCGCGGCUGGAGUGCAGGAGGGGCAGGCGGAAUUCCGGGUGGAGAGG